UGUUUUGUGUAAGUUGGUGUAGUCACGUCGAUAUUUGUAUUUGUAAUCAUUUGUAAUUUUUGUAAUGAGUCACGGAAAUGAAACAGUGAGAUUUCCUUGGGUUGUUUAUGUAUAAUGUGGUAUUAAAUAGCAUUUAAUGUACAUGUUUAACAUUGUCUCGAUUUUAUCUCUCAUUUUUUUCGUAAACGUCAAGAAAACGAAGUGAAAUCCUAAUAAUAUACCUAUAGGUGCUUAUAUAGAGUAAAUAUGAGAUAAGCAUAAUAUUUUUUACCGCUUACUGCCUACUUACGAGAGAUUAAAUUUAAUCAGUACAAUCCCAGCGUUUGAAAAGCCGUAAUUACAUACUGUCAGAUACUGUCCAAUAACGUAAUUCUUUACCAUUACUGUAAUGUUGAAGUUUUUAAUACUUUCUGUUUUGGUUGUAGUAUUAUCAGCUUCACAAAUGACAGACAAGGAAGAAUGGACCUUAUUCAAGUCUACUCAUGGAAAAAAUUACCAAACUGAAGAAGAGGAACAGCGCCGCUUUCAGAUAUUUCAAGAUAAUUUCAAAAAAAUUAAAGAACACAAUGAAAAAUACGAAAGAGGCGAAACAACAUACACAAUGGGAAUUAACAAAUUCGCUGACCUGACACCAGAGGAAUUCAAAGCAAUAUACGGACGUGGAGUUCUUCCAAAGAGAAAAGAGGAAAAUGAAUAAUGGAUAUUUAUAUUAAUUUCAUACACAAAGAUUUAAAUGUAUACAAUUACCUUAGAUUAUAUUACACUUACUCUGAGUAAAAUAUAACUUUUAUUUAUGAAAUUACUACUCUGUUAUAUUAAAUAUACUUGUUUUCAAUGUUA
RNA transcript from Sitophilus oryzae (rice weevil), 840 nucleotides. It is a transcript of the gene named cathepsin L-like proteinase, with no coding region annotated. NCBI's taxonomy places the organism in Eukaryota, Metazoa, Arthropoda, Insecta, Coleoptera, Curculionidae. The record is from RefSeq and is a predicted model, not a curated record. The transcript has 3 exons.